GGGGAAUAUUGGACAAUGGGGGAAACCCUGAUCCAGCCAUGCCGCGUGUGUGAAGAAGGCCUUCGGGUUGUAAAGCACUUUAAGCGAGGAGGAAGGGUUCUUAAUUAAUACUUGAGAGCAUUGACGUUACUCGCAGAAUAAGCACCGGCUAACUCUGUGCCAGCAGCCGCGGUAAUACAGAGGGUGCAAGCGUUAAUCGGAAUUACUGGGCGUAAAGCGCGCGUAGGCGGUUGUAUAAGUUGGAUGUGAAAUCCCCGGGCUUAACCUGGGCACUGCAUUCAAAACUGUACGGCUAGAGUGUAGGAGAGGAAGGUAGAAUUCCAGGUGUAGCGGUGAAAUGCGUAGAGAUCUGGAGGAAUACCGAUGGCGAAGGCAGCCUUCUGGCCUAACACUGACGCUGAGGUGCGAAAGCAUGGGGAGCAAA
This 424-nucleotide ribosomal RNA is filed under the name uncultured bacterium. Its description in RNAcentral is "bacterial SSU rRNA". It matches the Rfam family "Bacterial small subunit ribosomal RNA", at positions 356 to 772 of the family's 1533-position model. The record is from RNAcentral.